RNAcentral lists this ribosomal RNA (388 nucleotides) under uncultured bacterium. RNAcentral's name for it is "bacterial SSU rRNA". It matches the Rfam family "Bacterial small subunit ribosomal RNA", at positions 605 to 992 of the family's 1533-position model. The record is from RNAcentral.
GGGCUCAACCUGGGAACUGCAUUCGAAACUGGCAGGCUAGAGUCUUGUAGAGGGGGGUAGAAUUCCAGGUGUAGCGGUGAAAUGCGUAGAGAUCUGGAGGAAUACCGGUGGCGAAGGCGGCCCCCUGGACAAAGACUGACGCUCAGGUGCGAAAGCGUGGGGAGCAAACAGGAUUAGAUACCCUGGUAGUCCACGCCGUAAACGAUGUCGACUUGGAGGUUGUGCCCUUGAGGCGUGGCUUCCGGAGCUAACGCGUUAAGUCGACCGCCUGGGGAGUACGGCCGCAAGGUUAAAACUCAAAUGAAUUGACGGGGGCCCGCACAAGCGGUGGAGCAUGUGGUUUAAUUCGAUGCAACGCGAAGAACCUUACCUACUCUUGACAUCCAGA